ACGCAAGUCAAAGGGGAGUAGCGUUAGGUAAUUUACCUAAAACAAAGUCGUCAAUUCAUGGGUUUAUCAUCCAUCGGCUUUGUUGACAUGAGUGUGACUGACCAUGUUUAGCAAGACCUUUGCCUUUUUUAAGGCAAAGGUCUUUUUGUGUU
This 152-nucleotide small RNA is filed under the name Bacillaceae bacterium. RNAcentral's name for it is "Manganese sequence". It matches the Rfam family "Manganese Mn2+ riboswitch aptamer (yybP-ykoY)". From Rfam's summary of the family: This RNA was originally discovered in E. coli during a large scale screen and was named SraF. The family was later found to exist upstream of related families of protein genes in many bacteria, including the the yybP and ykoK genes in B. subtilis. Lineage: Bacteria; Bacillati; Bacillota; Bacilli; Caryophanales; Bacillaceae. The record is from RNAcentral.